This 487-nucleotide ribosomal RNA is filed under the name uncultured bacterium. Its description in RNAcentral is "bacterial SSU rRNA". It matches the Rfam family "Bacterial small subunit ribosomal RNA", at positions 8 to 500 of the family's 1533-position model. The record is from RNAcentral.
AGGCUUUGAUCCUGGCUCAGGACGAACGCUGGCGGCGUGCUUAACACAUGCAAGUCGAACGAAGCUAUUUGGUUAGCUUGCUAACUGGAUAGACUUAGUGGCGGACGGGUGAGUAACACGUGGGUAACCUACCUGGAAGACUGGGAUAACAGCUCGAAAGGGCUGCUAAUACCGGAUAAAGUGCCUUUGGAAUAAUUUAUGGGCACCAAAGCGUUAUGUAGUGCUUUCAGAUGGGCCCGCGGCCCAUUAGCUAGUUGGUGGGGUAAAGGCCUACCAAGGCGAUGAUGGGUAGCUGGUCUGAGAGGAUGGACAGCCACACUGGGACUGAGAACGGCCCAGACUCCUACGGGAGGCAGCAGUGGGGAAUUUUGCGCAAUGGGGGCAACCCUGACGCAGCGACGUCGUGUGAGUGAAGAAGGCUUUCGGGUUGUAAAGCUCUGUCUACGGGGAAGAUGAUGACGGUACCUGUGGAGGAAGCCCCGGCGUA